RNAcentral lists this long non-coding RNA (2119 nucleotides) under Linum usitatissimum (flax). RNAcentral's name for it is "long non-coding RNA (LUSI_LNC007657)". The record is from RNAcentral. Lineage: Eukaryota; Viridiplantae; Streptophyta; Magnoliopsida; Malpighiales; Linaceae.
GUUUAUACAGACGAGUAGGAAUCGAGUUAUAUAUAAACUUGCUACAAGCAAUCACGUUUUCUUUAUUGUGGCAUGAACUCUUCAACUAUUUCGUGACGAUCUUUAAAUUAAAAAAAAAGACAUGGGUUUCUACUAUUUUUUAAAUAUUGUUUUGCUUACCGAAUAUACGUCCCAAACAAUAUAAUAUAAUAUACUAGAGGUUAAAUUUUUUUGUAACUUGAAGGGUACACAACACGAUGAAGAAAGAAGAAUGCAGAAACUUGGUAGCCAAGUUGAGGAAGAAAGUAGGGAUCUUUCUACGAAGACAAGAAUCUUGGGAACUAGCGAAUCAGAUAUAAAUAUCCAAAGGCCGGUCAGCUGCUGCGGAGGUGGCGUCAACACUAGACCGCCGGCCGGAUUCCAUUCCGGCGACAUCAUUCAUGCACGUGCCAGCAGCAUGCAAACGCAACUUCUCCACUGCUUGUUUCCUGAAACCAACGACAUAUUCAAAUCCCAACCUUAAUUAAUCGUAUGACACACAGUCGCAGAUUCAGAAUUAAGAAUUCAUCGAAGUGUGGCCGCCGAAUUGUAUAAGAUUAUAUAUUGAACUUCUAUACCUGGAGAUGGGCGGUACCGUGGCCUUAAGCCACUACUGUCGUGACCGAGCAAACAAACUGUAACUGUAAUUGAACUGUUUGUACAUCGUGAUUGUACCGGACUGACUUGAUAACCAAUCAAACAGCUCGUUACGGUCUUGAAAACAUGAGCAACAACUCACGGGAAUCGCCCUCAAAUUCAUCAUCUAAAGAAACCCAAAUCAGUAAUAGGAAACAGGGCACAAGAACAUUGGUCAGUUACUGUACAAAUGUAGGUCUUUACUGAUAUGAUAAUUAAUAAUAUUGUUAGCCUCUGCCAUAACCAAAUAGAUGUAAUGUAAGAGUUAGUGUCAGUUUCAAAAGGGAGGGUAAAAAGGAAGCACAGGAGCUGGCAUUCCCUUCAGUGAAUGAAUGUCCCAGAAUGAAUUAAGGGGACAAUCUCUGAGAAAGGCACGCAGCAGUCUGGUCUAUUCAUUUAACACAAAGAGAGGAGGGGGAACCACCAUUUUUUUUGACAAUCCCUUUUUAUAUAAAAUAAAAAAGCAAGCACCUUUAUUCACACCACGCGACGCCUACACGGUUUGAGAAGACAACCAAAGUCCCGCUACAGCCACUUGGCUUGGGUGUCAAGUAACUCAUUCAAUACAGUGUGUCGGUUUACAGUACUCCCCACUACCUACCUACCUACCUACCUACCUACCUUAGGGUUCUUCAUUCCUUUCAUCUCUCCACGUGAUUACUUUGUAAAUUUCUCCUACAAAAGAUAAUGCCUUUUCCUAAAAGGUCCCAAAUAUAUACCCUAAUGUACGCACACACCUUCCAGAAGAGAUCGACCCUUAUCUAACUAACCCUUUUCUUUAGAAUAAGCUUUCACUUCACAGAAUAUGAAAAAGGAAUGAGAUUGGAUGGGGAAUUCCAUCAUUCUAAAUCCCUAAUCAUGAGGAUUCAAACCAAUCCAAUAACUUGAUUCAAACCCAUCUAGUAACUACCCUUUUCAGCCAAUUGAAUGAAAUCUAGCCUUAUCUUAAUGCCUAGAUCAAUAAAUGAGAAAGGGGGCUGCUAAAGUUGAGUUUUUUAAUUUGGGGGAAAAAGUAGUUCAUAGUCGGCAUUCCUCGUAACGAGGGAUAGAAACAAAAUAAAAAGGGGGAAAGAAAAGGCAUAUCCACCAAUAGGAACCACCUUUCCACAUUCAUUACCAGGAAAGUCAAAUCCACAUUUAUAUCAGCAAAAAGUGAGUUGAGUUAGAUUCGGUUCCAUGUAUUUUAAUAAUCAAAAUCAAUGUACCACAACAUUAAUAACUCUUUUUAGUCAAGCCUUUUCUCUAUUGGGAAAGAAAGGAUAAAAUGAUGAUAAUAACUAACAGUACUAGUGUUAAUGUAUGAAAAUUGAAAAGUACCUGUGUAUGCGUCAUAGACCAAGUCUGAGAGAGCUUUUAGACCAUUCCAGAGUGAAAACCCUCUCCAAUUGCCAACUGUCAUCCUCUGAGAGGAGCCUUCCUCUCUUCUUUGUUCUCUUCUCCUUGGUGUUCUUCCUCACUCCCGCCC